Molecule: ribosomal RNA, 253 nt
Filed under: uncultured bacterium
Lineage: Bacteria
Description: partial 16S ribosomal RNA
Rfam family: Bacterial small subunit ribosomal RNA
Source: RNAcentral
UACGUAGGGUGCAAGCGUUAAUCGGAAUUACUGGGCGUAAAGCGUGCGCAGGCGGUUCGCUAAGACAGAUGUGAAAUCCCCGGGCUUAACCUGGGAACUGCAUUUGUGACUGGCGGGCUAGAGUAUGGCAGAGGGGGGUAGAAUUCCACGUGUAGCAGUGAAAUGCGUAGAGAUGUGGAGGAAUACCGAUGGCGAAGGCAGCCCCCUGGGCCAAUACUGACGCUGAGGCGCGAAAGCGUGGGGAGCAAACGGG